UGAGCAGGUGAAUCAGAUUCCUAUAAGGG
This 29-nucleotide non-coding RNA is filed under the name Mus musculus (house mouse). The record is from RNAcentral. Lineage: Eukaryota; Metazoa; Chordata; Mammalia; Rodentia; Muridae.